UACAGGGGGAUAACACUUAGAAAUAGGUGCUAAUACCGCAUAAGCGCACGGUUCCGCAUGGAGCAGUGUGAAAAACUCCGGUGGUAUACGAUGGAUCCGCGUCUGAUUAGCCAGUUGGCGGGGUAACGGCCCACCAAAGCGACGAUCAGUAGCCGGCCUGAGAGGGUGAACGGCCACAUUGGAACUGAGACACGGCCCAAACUCCUACGGGAGGCAGCAGUGGGGAAUAUUGCACAAUGGGGGAAACCCUGAUGCAGCGACGCCGCGUGAGUGGAGAAGUAUCUCGGUACGUAAAGCUCUAUCAGCAGGGAAGAAAAUGACGGUACCUGACUAAGAAGCCCCGGCUAACUACGUGCCAGCAGCCGCGGUAAUACGUAGGGGGCAAGCGUUAUCCGGAUUUACUGGGUGUAAAGGGAGCGUAGACGGCAGCGCAAGUCUGGAGUGAAAUGCCGGGGCCCAACCCCAGAACUGCUUUGGAAACUGUGCAGCUCGAGUGCAGGAGAGGUAAGCGGAAUUCCUAGUGUAGCGGUGAAAUGCGUAGAUAUUAGGAGGAACACCAGUGGCGAAGGCGGCUUACUGGACUGUAACUGACGUUGAGGCUCGAAAGCGUGGGGAGCAAACAGGAUUAGAUACCCUGGUAGUCCACGCCGUAAACGAUGAUUACUAGGUGUCGGGGGGCCAAGGCCCUCCGGUGCCGCCG
RNAcentral lists this ribosomal RNA (700 nucleotides) under uncultured bacterium. RNAcentral describes it as "bacterial SSU rRNA". It matches the Rfam family "Bacterial small subunit ribosomal RNA", at positions 134 to 851 of the family's 1533-position model. The record is from RNAcentral.